AAAUUUGAAAUCUGGCGCCUUCGGUGUCCGAGUUGUAAUUUGAAGAAGGUAACUUUGGUUUUGGCUCUUGUCUAUGUUCCUUGGAACAGGACGUCACAGAGGGUGAGAAUCCCGUGCGAUGAGAUGCCCAAUUCCAUGUAAAGUGCUUUCGAAGAGUCGAGUUGUUUGGGAAUGCAGCUCUAAGUGGGUGGUAAAUUCCAUCUAAAGCUAAAUAUUGGCGAGAGACCGAUAGCGAACAAGUACAGUGAUGGAAAGAUGAAAAGAACUUUGAAAAGAGAGUGAAAAAGUACGUGAAAUUGUUGAAAGGGAAGGGUUUGAGAUCAGACUUGGUAUUUUGUAUGUUUUACUCUCGGGUGAGGCCUCUGCAGUUUACUGGGCCAGCAUCAGUUUGGAUGGUAGGAUAAUGACAUUGGAAUGUGGCUCUUCGGAGUGUUAUAGCCCUUGUUGAUACUGCCUAUCUAGACUGAGGACUGCGUCUUUGACUAGGAUGCUGGCAUAAUGAUUUUAAACCG
Molecule: ribosomal RNA, 512 nt
Filed under: Scheffersomyces coipomensis
Lineage: Eukaryota; Fungi; Ascomycota; Pichiomycetes; Serinales; Debaryomycetaceae
Description: eukaryotic LSU rRNA
Rfam family: Eukaryotic large subunit ribosomal RNA
Source: RNAcentral